RNAcentral lists this transfer RNA (77 nucleotides) under Verrucomicrobiota bacterium. RNAcentral describes it as "Verrucomicrobia bacterium (hot springs metagenome) tRNA-Met". It matches the Rfam family "tRNA". From Rfam's summary of the family: Transfer RNA (tRNA) molecules are approximately 80 nucleotides in length. Their secondary structure includes four short double-helical elements and three loops (D, anti-codon, and T loops). The record is from RNAcentral. Lineage: Bacteria; Pseudomonadati; Verrucomicrobiota.
GGGCUCGUAGCUCAGCGGUUCAGAGCGGAGGACUCAUAAUCCUUUGGUCGUAGGUUCGAAUCCUACCGGGCCCACCA